UGAGAGUCAGCGACAUGCAAGCCAAUGAUAUGAGAAGGACUUUAAGAAGCUGCUGAAGAACCCAAGAGGAAGGUGGGAGCUGUUGAUGGUGUGGAAUUAGAGGCCUGAUGGAGUGGAGAGCUUUCCUCCUCAUCACCUGGGUCAGGACCGUGGAGCUCCUUGAGCCUUGAGAUUCCAGGCCCAGGAGCACAUCAUCAUUGUGCUUCUUGGGGCCCAGGCGCAUCUCCUAAGAACUUGUUCUUAGACAUGUUGUGCUCAAACUUGUGGCAUCAUAGCAGUAAUAGUUUACAAUAUACCUACAGUUUCCUGGGCAGAUCAUCAGGUGCAGACUGGCUGCAGAGAGAAGGGAACUGUUUCACUUUCAUCUUCCUGGGCCAUUUCCAGAUACGAAUUGCAGAGACAUAUUUCAAUAUAUCCUCACCCAAGUAUGCUUUAGAAGUACAUUUCUUUUAAUAUAAUAAGAUUUAUGUCUUUUAUGUUUGUUUAGAGGGUAAAUCUGGAUUUGUAUUUUUAGAAGUUACUUUCACCAAAGAAAUUCGAAAGAAAUAGUAUUUCAGAAAAAUCAAAACAAGCCAUAGCAAUCUAAUAUUUUUCAGAUACUAUAUUGGGCUGCAUGAAGACUAAAUCCAUAAUAUGUAUGAAUAAUGUAUUCUAAAGUAAAUAUCAUAUUUUGUCAAAUUA
This 681-nucleotide long non-coding RNA is filed under the name Pan troglodytes (chimpanzee). Its description in RNAcentral is "lincRNA". Lineage: Eukaryota; Metazoa; Chordata; Mammalia; Primates; Hominidae. The record is from RNAcentral.